RNA transcript from Magallana angulata, 1148 nucleotides. It is a transcript of the gene named histidine protein methyltransferase 1 homolog, with no coding region annotated. NCBI's taxonomy places the organism in Eukaryota, Metazoa, Mollusca, Bivalvia, Ostreida, Ostreidae. The record is from RefSeq and is a predicted model, not a curated record. The transcript is spliced from 9 exons.
AGCCCAUGUGGGUUUGUUUUGAUUUUCAUUUCAACACAUGGCGUCUAAGAACAGAAAUGGAGUUUAGAUUUAAUUUUUCUUGUGAUCUUGAAGAAAAAGAUGGGACAAAUUCAAGACAACAAAAUAUUAUCACAAUUUCAUCAGAGCUCCUAUAAGUUUUGCAAUGUUGAUAUAUCUUGCUACAAGUGUGAGGAUAUAGAACAAUGGAUUGUAGAAAACAAUUCAGCAGAAGAAUCUGUAGUAAAAUCUGCUGCAGCAUCUCACUCAGAUCUUUUACCUGCUGUUUACGAAGGUGGUUUGACUGUUUGGGAAUGUGGAUGUGAUCUUGCAGAAUUCAUUUCUGGGGAAGGUAUAGACUUCAGAGGAAAAUCAGUAAUUGAACUUGGAUGUGGAGCAGGUUUGCCAGGAAUAUGUGCCAUGAAAUGUGGGGCUGAACAAGUGUACUUCCAAGACUAUAACUCUGAAGUGAUAUCUUACUUUACUAUCCCAAAUGUCCAGCUGAAUGAAACAACAUGUCAGUGCAGGUUUUUCUCUGGUGACUGGGGAGAAUUCCAAAAGUAUGCAAGGAAUCGGCCAGAUAUGAGAUUUGAUUACAUUCUGACUGCAGAAACAAUUUACAGCUCGGAAAAUUAUCCAAAACUUCACAGCCUUCUAGAAACCCUACUUAAAGCUGAUGGACAAAUAUUUUUAGCUGCUAAGUCUAAUUACUAUGGAGUUGGCGGGGGAACAAGAUUAUUUGAAGACUUUAUCACUAAGGAAGAAAAUUUCACAUACGAGUCAGUCAAAGUUAUGGAGGCUAGUGACGUCAUAAAUAGACAGCGACUGAGCAAUGAUGACUAAAAUCAAGAUUAAAGUGACAUGCAUCCUUUGUAGAAUGAUUUAUGAAGGUUUGAUUUUCAUACAACACUACUGUAUGAUGCACAGAUGUACCUAGGGAAAUUAUCAAGUUAGAGAGGAUCUAAAUAAAUCAUUACCCCAGUGUAAUGAUGGAUAAUUGCCUAUGUUUUACGGAAUCUGCAGAACAACUUCACAAACUUUAAUAUUUUUAUCAACAUUUUUUAUUUAUGGUAUGAAACAAUAAUUUUAAUAUGUUUGUGUUUGAAAUAGUCAUUUAACAAACAAUGUAAUUAAGACAAAGGUAAAUCAUG